GGGUAAAGGCCUACCCAGGCGACGAUCUGUAGCGGGUCUGAGAGGAUGAUCCGCCACACUGGGACUGAGACACGGCCCAGACUCCUACGGGAGGCAGCAGUGGGGAAUAUUGGACAAUGGGGGGAACCCUGAUCCAGCCAUGCCGCGUGUGUGAAGAAGGCCUUAUGGUUGUAAAGCACUUUAAGCGAGGAGGAGGCUACUCUAGUUAAUACCUAGGGAUAGUGGACGUUACUCGCAGAAUAA
This 243-nucleotide ribosomal RNA is filed under the name Acinetobacter seifertii. Its description in RNAcentral is "partial 16S ribosomal RNA". It matches the Rfam family "Bacterial small subunit ribosomal RNA", at positions 255 to 489 of the family's 1533-position model. The record is from RNAcentral. Lineage: Bacteria; Pseudomonadati; Pseudomonadota; Gammaproteobacteria; Moraxellales; Moraxellaceae.